GGGGGGUAAAGAGCAAAUACACUAAUAAAUACUCGAAAAAAAAAAAUAGGCUUUCUACAUAUGCAUCGUGCAAAAACGAUUUUUAUCAGCUGUAGCAAAGAAAGAAACUUCAUAGAAGUCGAAAUAUGAAGAAAUCGAUAUGCCUAGAUAGUUUAUUCUAUGGAUAAAGGAUCUAAUUGAUAGAGGAAGCACCGUAAAGAUCAAUUCGCGAGGUUUUGGGCCGAUGCCGAUCCAAUAAGAACUGCUUAUUAUGUCAUGAUAUGAGAUAAAAGUAAGGAAUCCACUUAUGUAAUAAAGUCGAUCCCCUAAGGUAUUGAGCAGCGGUGUAGCAUCAGAUCCCAAAGACAGUAAGCCUUUUCUUUCUUAGGAAGAAAGGGCUUUUUCAAAGAUUCUAUAUCAAUUUUUAUAUGAAACCGAGAUAGAUACCUUUCAGAAAAUUCUAACUAUAGUGGAAAUGCUUCUAUGUUAUUCUUCUGACGGUGGGAGAAAAGAUAAAAUGAAAGCAAAGCUGAUUAUUAAUUUAAUCAAAAGUCAAGUUUGAAACUCAUGCUCAUGGAAUUAACCUCUUUUGGUUAACCCCCCAAAAAAAAGAAUAAAGAUAAAGAUCGAUCUAUGAGAAAUCUCAUUCAAUUCGAUAUAC
RNAcentral lists this long non-coding RNA (640 nucleotides) under Citrus maxima (pomelo). Its description in RNAcentral is "long non-coding RNA (CMAX_LNC004284)". The record is from RNAcentral. Lineage: Eukaryota; Viridiplantae; Streptophyta; Magnoliopsida; Sapindales; Rutaceae.